AAAGAAACUAACAAGGAUUCCCCUAGUAACUGCGAGUGAAGCGGGAAAAGCUCAAAUUUAAAAUCUGGUGGCCUUUGGUCAUCCGAGUUGUAAUUUAGAGAAGCGUCUUCCGCGCUGGACCGUGCACAAGUCUCCUGGAAUGGAGCGUCAUAGAGGGUGAGAAUCCCGUCUUUGGCACGGACCCCAGGGCUUCUGUGAUGCGCUCUCGAAGAGUCGAGUUGUUUGGGAAUGCAGCUCAAAAUGGGUGGUGAACUCCAUCUAAAGCUAAAUAUUGGCGAGAGACCGAUAGCGAACAAGUACCGUGAGGGAAAGAUGAAAAGCACUUUGGAAAGAGAGUGAAACAGUACGUGAAAUUGUUGAAAGGGAAACGCUUGAAGUCAGUCGCGUCGCCCGAGACUCAGCCUUGCCUUGGCUUGGUGUAUUUCUCGGCUGACGGGUCAGCAUCAAUUUUGCCCCUUGGAUAAUGGCGAGGGAAAUGUGACACCUUUGCGGGUGUGUUAUAGUCCCCUGUCGCAUGCAAGGGUCGGGAUUGAGGAACUCAGCACGCACCUUUUGGUGUCGGGGCCUUUGCCCACGAUACGUGCUUAGGAUGUUGGCGUAAUGGCUUUAACGACCCGUCUG
This 621-nucleotide ribosomal RNA is filed under the name uncultured Russulaceae. RNAcentral's name for it is "eukaryotic LSU rRNA". It matches the Rfam family "Eukaryotic large subunit ribosomal RNA", at positions 58 to 655 of the family's 3401-position model. The record is from RNAcentral. Lineage: Eukaryota; Fungi; Basidiomycota; Agaricomycetes; Russulales; Russulaceae.